AAAUUGUUUUGGGGACAAUUUAUUAUUAAUCCUUUGUAUCACUCUCAUGCUUCGUAGGGUGACUCACCCGGUUGUUGAUCGAAAUUUGCUAUGUCCUUCUUCAGUUU
Molecule: small nucleolar RNA, 107 nt
Organism: Lactuca sativa (garden lettuce)
Lineage: Eukaryota; Viridiplantae; Streptophyta; Magnoliopsida; Asterales; Asteraceae
Source: RefSeq, a predicted model, not a curated record